GAUCCCAAAUGUUCUCAUUGAUUGAUAGCGAUAUCAUAGAAGCAGCGACACGAAUUAAGAUUUAAAACCAACCCCAAGAAGGAUCGCAGAUCCAACUCCACCGAAUCGAUCCAAGAACUCCGCCUAAUCCAACCAAACCAUGGGCGAUCUCAUCUCACCAACACGACACGAACUCAUAAAAAGACUAACACCACCACCACCUCCUCCUUAUUUAGGGACUCGACGACUCAAGACGACUGAUACUGGCGAAAGGCGAAGGGGAACAGCACAGAUCUAGGAGAGCUGGCCGCAGUCGGCGAUGACGACCGGCUUGGCGGUGCUCCCGCCGCGGGAUCCCACCUUCUCGAUGGCCUUGACGACGUCCAUGCCCUCGACGACGCGGCCGAACACGACGUGCUUCCCGUCCAGCCAGCUGCAGGGCACGGUGCAGAUGAAGAACUGGGACCCGUUAGUGUUGGGCCCGGCGUUCGCCAUGGACAGGAUGCCGGGGCUGUCGUGCUUGAACUUGAACACCUCGUCGGCGAACUUCUCGCCGUAGAUCGACUCCCCUCCCGUGCCGUUGCCGCGGGUGAAGUCGCCGCCCUGGCACAUGAACUCCGGGAUCACGCGGUGGAAGGUGCUCCCCUUGUAGUGCAGCGGCUUGCCGCUCUUGCCCACGCCCUUCUCGCCGGUGCAGAGCGCGCGGAAGUUCUCCGCCGUCCGCGGCACGUCCUUCGCGUACAGCUCCAUCACGAUCCGCCCCGCCGGAGCUCCGCCGACGGUCAUGUCGAAGAACACCCUCGUGUUCGACAUCGCCGCCGCGCUAGGGUUUUGCGAAUUUCACAGAUGGGGAAUAUUUUUUCUUUUUGUUUGAUUUUUUUUUUU
This 864-nucleotide unclassified non-coding RNA is filed under the name Hevea brasiliensis (rubber tree). Lineage: Eukaryota; Viridiplantae; Streptophyta; Magnoliopsida; Malpighiales; Euphorbiaceae. The record is from RNAcentral.